This 326-nucleotide ribosomal RNA is filed under the name uncultured bacterium. RNAcentral's name for it is "bacterial SSU rRNA". It matches the Rfam family "Bacterial small subunit ribosomal RNA", at positions 32 to 335 of the family's 1533-position model. The record is from RNAcentral.
AAUCAACGCUGGCGGCGUGCCUCAGACAUGCAAGUCGAACGCUGCUGUUCGCCUUCGGGUGGACAGCGGAGUGGCGCACGGGUGAGUAACACGUAGGUAAUCUACCUUUGGGUGGGGAAUAACAGCCGGAAACGGCUGCUAAUACCGCAUAAUGCAGCGGCAUCACAUGAUGACAGUUGUUAAAGCGGGGGAUCGUAAGACCUCGCGCCUGAAGAGGAGCCUGCGGCAGAUUAGGUAGUUGGUGAGGUAAUGGCUCACCAAGCCUGCGAUCUGUAACCGGCCUGAGAGGGCGGUCGGUCACACUGACACUGACAGUACGGGUCAGA